This 460-nucleotide ribosomal RNA is filed under the name uncultured bacterium. RNAcentral's name for it is "partial 16S ribosomal RNA". It matches the Rfam family "Bacterial small subunit ribosomal RNA", at positions 338 to 795 of the family's 1533-position model. The record is from RNAcentral.
CCUACGGGGGGCUGCAGUGAGGAAUAUUGGUCAAUGGGCGCGAGCCUGAACCAGCCAAGUAGCGUGAAGGAUGACUGCCCUACGGGUUGUAACCUUCUUUUAUAAAGGAAUAAAGUGAGGCACGUGUGCCUUUUUGUAUGUACUUUAUGAAUAAGGCUCGGCUAACUACGUGCCAGCAGCCGCGGUAAUACGGAGGAUCCGAGCGUUAUCCGGAUUUAUUGGGUUUAAAGGGAGCGUAGAUGGGUUGUUAAGUCAGUUGGGAAAGUUUGCGGCUCAAACGUAAAAUUGCAAUUGAUACUGGCAGUCGUGAGUACAGUUGAGGGAGGCGGAAUUCGUGGAGUAGCGGUGAGAUGCUUAGAUAUCACGAAGAACUCCGAGUGCGAAGGCAGCUGACAAAACUGCCACUGACAUUGAUGCGCGAGAGUGUGUGGAGCAAACAGGAGUAAAGACCCUAGUAGUC